Molecule: transfer RNA, 72 nt
Filed under: Isoetes savatieri
Lineage: Eukaryota; Viridiplantae; Streptophyta; Lycopodiopsida; Isoetales; Isoetaceae
Description: partial transfer RNA-Lys
Source: RNAcentral
GGGUUGCUAACUCAAUGGUAGAGUAAUCGGCUCGACGAGUUAUGGGUUCGAGCCCCGGCCCCGGUCAACCCG